Long non-coding RNA from Ruditapes philippinarum (Manila clam), 2472 nucleotides. RefSeq lists it as uncharacterized. The transcript has 2 exons. The record is from RefSeq and is a predicted model, not a curated record. Lineage: Eukaryota; Metazoa; Mollusca; Bivalvia; Venerida; Veneridae.
CAAAUAAAAGCCUUUGGGUAAAAAUUGGGCCGGGGACGGGGGCUAUAUACAGGUGAGCGACCUCAGGGCCAUCAUGGCCCUCUUGUAUAAAUAUGAUGCUCAAAUUAAGAUUUGUCAAUAUUGUAAUUUCCAAUAAGCAUUAUUUGUAAAGAUAUUACCCAAUUGAACAUUUCAUGUAAAUAAAAGGAGGUAAUUAGAAAAUUAUUUUCUAUAAAUUCUAAGUCAGAUUUUCCAAUAAGAAAUGAAUGUAGUAAUUUAUUGAUUAAAUAGAAUGUGCACAAAUAUUUGCAGUACACAUUUUACAUAUUCUUCGAUGUUUUUUACAUAACUAUAAACAUAUAUAAAUUUUUUGAAAGUGUGGUAUACACACAAUCUUCUCCAAAUCCCUCCAGAGGCGUGCACGUCGCGGAGAAGGCACACGGAAGGUCAAGGUCAAGUCAUCUCAAGUACCAGAGGUGAUUGGUUGAUCUGUCGUGACUAACUCUGGAGGGCUGUCACUAACGAAGGCCGUUUUUGUUGUCGUCAGUCAGGAAGUUGAUGCCUUGACAGUAUUGUCGUCUCCUUUACCACCAACGAACGAAGAAUGGGCUACCAGGAAGAUUCUGCCCCGAUGUGACUACCGUAGUGGACCGGCAAGGAUGCUAUAAUCUAGGACAUAUGGUUAUUCCGGCGCCGAGUUUAAAAAAACCUAAAUACACACAAUAUACACAUAGUAGCAAUAUCAAUCACAAAACAUACAGCAUCUUUAAGUAUUUCAUCAUAUACAUUUUUAUGCCCCCCUUCGAAGAAGAGGGGGUAUAUUGUUAUGCUAAUGUCAGUCUGUCUGUCUGUCUGUCUUUCGGUCCGUCGGUCUGUCCGUCGGUAGACCACAUGGUUUCCGCUGAUUAUCUUUAAAAGUAUUAAUCACAAAGUCUUCAUAUUUUACAUAGUGAUUGGUCAUAACUAGUAGAAGACCCUUAUUGAUUUUGGGGUCACAAGGUCAAGGUCACAGGGACCUUAAAUGUCAAAAUGGUUUCCGCUGAUUAUCUUAAAAAGUAUGUAUCACAAAGUCUUCAUAUUUCACACAGUGAUUGGUCAUAACAGGCAGAUGACCCCUAUUGAUUUUGGGGUCACUAGGUCAAAGGUCAAGGUCAAAGGGGACUUAAAUGUCAAAAUGGUUUCCUCUGAUUAUCUUGAAAAGUAUGUAUCACAAAGUCUUCAUAUUUCACAUAGUGAUUGGACAUCACUAGUAGAUGACCCCUAUUGAUUUUGGGGUCACUAGGUCAAAGGUCAAGGUCACAGCGACCAUAAAAUGUCAAAAUGGUUUCCGCUGAUUAUCUUGAAAAGUAUUUAUCACAAAGUCUUCAUAUUUCACAUAGUGAUUGGUCUUAACUAGUAGAUGACUCCUAUUGAUUUUGGGGUCACUAGGUCAAAGGUCAAGGUCACAGGGAUCUUAAAUGUCAAAAUGGUUUCCGCUGAUUAUCUUGAAAAGUAUGUACCACAAAGUCUUCAUAUUUCACACAGUGAUUGGUCAUAACUAGUAGAUGACCCCUAUUGAUUUUAGGGUCACUAGGUCAAAGGUCAAGGUCACAGGGGCUUUAAAUGUCCAAAUGGUUUCCGCUGAUUAUCUUGAAAAGUAUGUAUCACAAAGUCUUCAUAUUUUACAUAGUGAUAAGUCUUAACUAGUAGAUGAGCCCUUUUGAUUUUGGGGUCACUAGGUCAAAGGUCAAGGUCACAGGGGCCUUAAAUGUCAAAAUGGUUUCUGCUGAUUAUCUUGAAAAGUAUUCAUCACAAAGUCUUCAUAUUUCACCUAGUUAUUGGUCAUAAGUAGUAGAUGACCUCUAUUGAUUUAGGGGUCAUUAGCCUCCGUGGUCGAGGGGUUAGAGUCGAUGACUUCUAAUCCAGUUACCUCUCUGGCGUGGGUUCGAUCCACGGGAGAUGCUUUGGUAGUUUAGCGCGGAGGAAGGUAGUCUAGUACUGGUGUAACUCUCCAGGAACGAUGGUUAGGAAACCUCCCGCCUAUAUGACUGAAAUACUGUUGGGUAAAGGCGUAAAAUGAAACAAACAAACAAACAAAGUCAAAGGUCAAUGUCACAUGGGCCUUAAAUGUCAAAAUGGUUUUCGUUGAUUUUUUUCCAUAAUUGAACACUUCCAUGUACCCAUUUUUUGGCAAGUUUCUGUAAUAAAAUUACCAAUUAUGUGAGUCAAUGGCUAGAAAGUGGGGUAUAUGUGUCGUUCGACAUUCUUGUUUUGACAUGGUACCUGUUACCUUUUUCAGUUAUCUAAAUGUUAAAGUCAUAAUGUUAAGUGGGUAAUUAUUUCCCCAACUUAAUUUUAAUUAAUAAUUGUUAUUAUCUUAAAACAGUUGUUUAAGAAUUUUAUAUAUUGACAUACAUGUAUUGAGAACUUUUGAAUUAAGAAUAUUUCUUUUUAUACAUUAUAUUUGUAAAUAUAAUUUCUUGGACUGUCUAAAAUAAAUUAUAUUUUGACUUA